AAUGAACGCUGGCGGCGCGCCUAAUACAUGCAAGUCGAGCGAGAAGACGUAGCAAUACGUUUGUAAAGCGGCGAACGGGUGAGGAAUACAUGGGUAACCUACCCUAGAGUGGGGAAUAACUAGCCGAAAGGUUAGCUAAUACCGCGUACGCUCCUUGGACUUCGGUUCAGGGAGGAAAGCGAUGCCGAGGGUAUCGCGCUCUUGGAUGGGCUCAUGUCCUACCAGCUUGUUGGUGAGGUAACGGCUCACCAAGGCUUCGACGGGUAGCUGGUCUGAGAGGACGAUCAGCCACACUGGCACUGCGACACGGGCCAGACUCCUACGGGAGGCAGCAGUAAGGAAUAUUGCGCAAUGGGCGAAAGCCUGACGCAGCGACGCC
Molecule: ribosomal RNA, 379 nt
Filed under: uncultured bacterium
Lineage: Bacteria
Description: bacterial SSU rRNA
Rfam family: Bacterial small subunit ribosomal RNA
Source: RNAcentral